This 75-nucleotide transfer RNA is filed under the name Methylomicrobium sp. RNAcentral describes it as "tRNA-Met". It matches the Rfam family "tRNA". Rfam says of the family: Transfer RNA (tRNA) molecules are approximately 80 nucleotides in length. Their secondary structure includes four short double-helical elements and three loops (D, anti-codon, and T loops). The record is from RNAcentral. Lineage: Bacteria; Pseudomonadati; Pseudomonadota; Gammaproteobacteria; Methylococcales; Methylococcaceae.
CGCGGAUUAGAGCAGCGGCAGCUCGGGAGUCUCAUAAGCUCCAGGUCACCGGUUCGAAUCCGGUAUCCGCUUCCA